This 335-nucleotide ribosomal RNA is filed under the name Pseudomonas sp. Its description in RNAcentral is "partial 16S ribosomal RNA". It matches the Rfam family "Bacterial small subunit ribosomal RNA", at positions 933 to 1267 of the family's 1533-position model. Lineage: Bacteria; Pseudomonadati; Pseudomonadota; Gammaproteobacteria; Pseudomonadales; Pseudomonadaceae. The record is from RNAcentral.
CCCCCCCCCGCCCGGAGCAUGUGGUUUAAUUGGAAGCAACCGAAGAACUUACCUGGCCCCCCCCCCCCCGCACUUUCCAGAGAGGAUUGGUGCCUUCGGGAACUCAGACACAGGUGCUGCAAAAACGUCAGCUCGUGUCGUGAGAUGUUGGGUUAAGUCCCGUAACGAGCGCAACCCUUGUCUUAGUUACCAGCACGUUAUGGUGGGCACUCUAAGGAGACUGCCGGUGACAAACCGGAGGAAGGUGGGGAUGACGUCAAGUCAUCAUGGCCCUCCCCCCAGGGCUACACACGUGCUACAAUGGUCGGUACAAAGGGGGCAACCGCGAGGUGGAG